Molecule: transfer RNA, 73 nt
Filed under: Harpegnathos saltator (Jerdon's jumping ant)
Lineage: Eukaryota; Metazoa; Arthropoda; Insecta; Hymenoptera; Formicidae
Rfam family: tRNA
About the family: Transfer RNA (tRNA) molecules are approximately 80 nucleotides in length. Their secondary structure includes four short double-helical elements and three loops (D, anti-codon, and T loops).
Source: Rfam by way of RNAcentral
CGUCAGAUAGCUCAGUGGUCUAGAGCAGUCGCCCGGCAAGCGAAAGACUCGGGUUCGAUUCCCGGUCUAGCGA